CGGACGGGUGAGUAAUGUAUAGUUAAUCUGCCCUUUAGAGGGGGAUAACAGUUGGAAACGACUGCUAAUACCCCAUACUCCUUUUAUCUUAAUGAUAAUUGGGAAACGUUUUUUCGCUAAAGGAUGAGACUAUAUGGCAUCAGGUAGUUGGUAGGGUAAGAGCCUACCAAGCCAAUGACGCCUAGCUGGUCUGAGAGGAUGAUCAGCCACACUGGAACUGAGACACGGUCCAG
RNAcentral lists this ribosomal RNA (233 nucleotides) under uncultured bacterium. RNAcentral describes it as "partial 16S ribosomal RNA". It matches the Rfam family "Bacterial small subunit ribosomal RNA", at positions 99 to 334 of the family's 1533-position model. The record is from RNAcentral.